This 454-nucleotide ribosomal RNA is filed under the name uncultured Thiobacillus sp. Its description in RNAcentral is "bacterial SSU rRNA". It matches the Rfam family "Bacterial small subunit ribosomal RNA", at positions 923 to 1382 of the family's 1533-position model. Lineage: Bacteria; Pseudomonadati; Pseudomonadota; Betaproteobacteria; Nitrosomonadales; Thiobacillaceae. The record is from RNAcentral.
GCACAAGCGGUGGAGUAUGUGGUUUAAUUCGAUGAUACGCGAGAAACCCUACCAGGGUUUGACAUCAACGAUGAGUCGUGAGAGAUCAUGGCGCCUUCGGGGUCGUUGACAGGUGCUGCAUGGCUGUCGUCAGCUCGUGUCGUGAGAUGUUGGGUUAAGUCCCGCAACGAGCGCAACCCUUGUCAUUAGUUGCUACAUUCAGUUGGGCACUCUAAUGAGACUGCCGGUGACAAGCCGGAGGAAGGUGGGGAUGACGUCAAGUCCUCAUGGCCCUUAUGGGUAGGGCUUCACACGUCAUACAAUGGUCGGUACAGAGGGUUGCCAAGCCGCGAGGCGGAGCCAAUCCCACAAAGCCGAUCGUAGUCCGGAUUGUUCUCUGCAACUCGAGAGCAUGAAGUCGGAAUCGCUAGUAAUCGCAGGUCAACAUACUGCGGUGAAUACGUUCCCGGGUCUU